Molecule: non-coding RNA, 1790 nt
Organism: Pelodiscus sinensis (Chinese soft-shelled turtle)
Lineage: Eukaryota; Metazoa; Chordata; Testudines; Trionychidae
Source: RefSeq, a predicted model, not a curated record
ACACAAACAGAACUUACGUUUUCCUUUCUUUUUCUAGCACGGUACAAUUGGUAAAUUGCUAAAAGGAAAAGCAAAUCUGUACAAACACCGCAGAUGUCCCAUGAAUCUAGUACAAUUAGCACAUACAGAUUGAUGCUUAACCCUCUGGCACCUGUGCAUGACUAUAAUUCCCAUGCCAUAAUGCUUCUUUGUGCAUGUUCAUAUGCAUGAAAACCAUUGACCAAAGAAAUUCUCAUUAUAUGCAAGUUUAAAGCACAUCUGUUACUUUUCUGAUAGCAUGCCAACAGUGUUCAGUGGUGUUCAAAGCACUGGGAAAAGGUGUGGUACCUGCCUUGAAGAGUUUACACAUCUAAGGAUAUGAUUCUGCAAAGGGGAGCUGUAAAUACGGAUCCUUAUUCCUGGGAUGCUGUGCAAGUGUACGGGUCCAUGCUUGUUGGUCAACAGUAUAAAUGACAAAACUGUGCUAGAUCUACUGUGAGCUAGAUUGUAAUUUUAGGCACAACCCUGGGAAAGAGGGUGGAGGGGUGUAAAUUGUAUCAUCCCAGGAGAAGCCCCAGCAAGUGGUCUGACUCAGAGGUACCUUCCUACCGUUCUUCUCAUGCCAGGGGUGUACUGAGUGUGGGAAGGCAUUGUUAACUGAUGGACUAACGCUCUGUCCCUGGUCCUCUGCUGCCCCAGGAACUGCUCAGACCCAUUUUUUUUUAAUGUACACUUUAUAUUCUACUCUAAACCCUUCCCCACACAACAGUACAAUGCAGCAUCACAGUUGUAAAUGACUAGAUCUUUCAGCGCCUCUUUACUAGGGCUGAAAAGAAAUCUCCCUUUCUAAAGAGAGCUAUCUCUGGCUUAGCUUGGCUCCCUCUCCCAUAGCACUUUUUGGCUUUUAUCAGGUUAACCAGUUUCAGAUCCUCAGAAGUAAAAACACCCAUGCGAACUGGAGAUGUUAGAAAAUGACCUUUUUUAUUUCUCCCCAGGUGCCUCGUUAAAUUGUUUUGAAUAAUUAAUGUGAUGAUUUGCAUGGACUGCAGGGUGUGAGACAGCAAAUAGUGAUGUGUAAGGGGCUUCCCAAUUUAUUGAAGUUAUAUGAAAUCAUCCGGUUUUGCAAAGUGUAGAAGAUGCAAAGAACUCUACAAAGAGAUGGGGUUCCAGUGGUGGGAACAUGGUGCACAGCCAGAGCUAUGAACUUGAAAGAACAAGCACGGAGCAUAAAGUGGGCCUACAUAUUGGAAGCAGUGUUGGUCAUCCUGUGAAGAGGAAGACUGAACAAAGGUUUCCUGCCCUGGGAAAAAGUCUAUAAAGAAUGGAAAACAAUCAGCUCUUUGCCUUCAUCUGGUCUUUGAAACUGCCUCGCCUACCUUAAGAGGAGACAAAUGAAAACAAAGGACUCUAAAGAACACUGGGGAAAACUGUAGACCCAAUCCAGAGUAAAGAUCAGCUCUGACUUGCAACAUUUUACCUGAAGGGGAAAAAACUGUUUAAGGUACAGACAAUCCAAAAGCAAAAACAAAUUGUCCAGAGGAGAAACUGACUGAUGUUUUCAAGACAUUGCCCUGCAAUAUUCCCUGCGAAUUCACAGAGCAUGGGCACUUUACCAGUGGUUCCCAACCGUUUUUAUACCGUGGACCGGCAAACUCGUUCACAAACUUUUGGUGGACUGGUAACAUUUUAUUUGAAUAUUUGAAUAUUCAUUAUGGUAAUUCACUUUAAGAGGUUACCUGUUAUUUUAUAUUGCAUCUGUAUGCAUACAAUACAUGUCUUUGUAACUGAACAGGCUACGUCUAGACUGGCAU